GGAGAUGUGGCCGAGUGGUCGAAGGCGCUCCCCUGCUAAGGGAGUAGACGGGGAACCGUCUCGAGGGUUCGAAUCCCUCCAUCUCCGCCA
RNAcentral lists this transfer RNA (90 nucleotides) under Paracoccaceae bacterium. RNAcentral describes it as "Rhodobacteraceae bacterium tRNA-Ser". It matches the Rfam family "tRNA". From Rfam's summary of the family: Transfer RNA (tRNA) molecules are approximately 80 nucleotides in length. Lineage: Bacteria; Pseudomonadati; Pseudomonadota; Alphaproteobacteria; Rhodobacterales; Paracoccaceae. The record is from RNAcentral.